UUGAUUCUGUUCUUCAGCCAUUGC
RNAcentral lists this non-coding RNA (24 nucleotides) under Arabidopsis thaliana (thale cress). The record is from RNAcentral. Lineage: Eukaryota; Viridiplantae; Streptophyta; Magnoliopsida; Brassicales; Brassicaceae.